Molecule: non-coding RNA, 718 nt
Organism: Prunus avium (sweet cherry)
Lineage: Eukaryota; Viridiplantae; Streptophyta; Magnoliopsida; Rosales; Rosaceae
Source: RefSeq, a predicted model, not a curated record
ACGCGACUCUCACUCACUCACUUUCACUCAGACUUCUCUUCUGUUCUCUCUUCUAUUUUCAUUUUCUUUCUCUGGUUUUGACCUAAGGGGCUGCGUGCGGCGCCUCUCUCUCUCUCUCUCACCUCACCAAAGCUCAGAUCUUCAAUCGACCUCGGAUCUUUGAACAACAACAUCAGCGUCUCUCUCUCUCUCUCUCUCUCUGUGGUUUUGACCUAAGGGGCUGUGUGUGGCGCCUCUCUCUCUCUCUCUCACCUCACCAAAGCUCAGAUCUUUGAACAACAACAUCAGCGUCGCUCCUUCCUUCAUCGAUCUCUCGAUCUGUCAUCUGCCGCCAGGCACGCACAGCACAAACCCUAUCAAUUCUAAUACUUGCACGCUUGAGGCAGCAGCGACAACCACCUCCCUUGCCGAAGGUAAAUUCUCCCUCUCCUCUGUACAUUCUAGGGUUUUUUUUAUUUUGAAAUUUAUACUUAUGCUCUGAACUUGAGAAAUUAUUUUUGCAUUUUGUUUGAACGAUUCUUCCAUUCAAUCUAUCUGUGCUCUGUGUGUUUUUUGAUAGAGUAAGGAAGAAAGAGAAAAACAUAGAGAAUUAGAGAAAAACAGAGAAAAAAUGCGAGUUUGAUUUUGAGUAUUAAUUAGCUAAUGUUUUGCCUAUAUCCGAUGGAUUUAUGCUCUGAACUUGAGAAUUAAUUUUUGCUUUUUUUGAACAAUUCUUCCA